This 1000-nucleotide ribosomal RNA is filed under the name Ochronectria calami. RNAcentral's name for it is "LSU rRNA". It matches the Rfam family "Eukaryotic large subunit ribosomal RNA", at positions 45 to 1080 of the family's 3401-position model. Lineage: Eukaryota; Fungi; Ascomycota; Sordariomycetes; Hypocreales; Bionectriaceae. The record is from RNAcentral.
CAUAAGCGGAGGAAAAGAAACCAACAGGGAUUGCCCCAGUAACGGCGAGUGAAGCGGCAACAGCUCAAAUUUGAAAUCUGGCUCUCGGGCCCGAGUUGUAAUUUGAAGAGGAUGUUUCUGGCAAGGUACCUUCUGAGUUCCCUGGAACGGGACGCCAUAGAGGGUGAGAGCCCCGUCUAGUUGGUCGCCGCGCCUCUGUGAAACUCCUUCGACGAGUCGAGUAGUUUGGGAAUGCUGCUCAAAAUGGGAGGUAUACGUCUUCUAAAGCUAAAUACCGGCCAGAGACCGAUAGCGCACAAGUAGAGUGAUCGAAAGAUGAAAAGCACUUUGAAAAGAGGGUUAAAUAGUACGUGAAAUUGUUGAAAGGGAAGCGCUCAUGACCAGACUUGGGCCGGUUGAUCAUCCAUCGUUCUCGGUGGUGCACUCUGCCGGUCCAGGCCAGCAUCAGUUUGCCCCGGGGGAUAAAGGCUUCGGGAAUGUGGCUCCCUAGGGAGUGUUAUAGCCCGUUGCGUAAUACCCUGUGGCAGACUGAGGUCCGCGCUCUGCAAGGAUGCUGGCGUAAUGGUCAUCAGCGACCCGUCUUGAAACACGGACCAAGGAGUCGUCUUCGUAUGCGAGUGUUCGGGUGUCAAACCCCUACGCGUAAUGAAAGUGAACGUAGGAGAGAGCUUCGGCGCAUCUCCGACCGAUCCUGAUGUUCUCGGAUGGAUUUGAGUAAGAGCAUACGGGGCCGGACCCGAAAGAAGGUGAACUAUGCCUGUAUAGGGUGAAGCCAGAGGAAACUCUGGUGGAGGCUCGCAGCGGUUCUGACGUGCAAAUCGAUCGUCAAAUAUGGGCAUGGGGGCGAAAGACUAAUCGAACCUUCUAGUAGCUGGUUUCCGCCGAAGUUUCCCUCAGGAUAGCAGUGUUGAACUCAGUUUUAUGAGGUAAAGCGAAUGAUUAGGGACUCGGGGGCGCUAUAUUGCCUUCAUCCAUUCUCAAACUUUAAAUAUGUAAGAAG